RNAcentral lists this long non-coding RNA (1386 nucleotides) under Homo sapiens (human). RNAcentral's name for it is "HSALNT0377973". Lineage: Eukaryota; Metazoa; Chordata; Mammalia; Primates; Hominidae. The record is from RNAcentral.
AGACCAGAGAGGCAGGUGGCGGUUGCCGGUCCGGGAAUCUGGGCCAGUCCGCCUUCCUCCAAGGCAUCAGAGGGGAGGGAUUUCAAGGGUCCUCAAAGGUUCCCCUUCUUAAGCAAUGCAUAGCACCCAUCCUAGGAGCGUCCGUCCGUUCACUUGUAUGUCUGUCCGAAUGGAAGUGCCUCCUUGGGCCAGAACUCACAAGUGGCCAGGCCAGCAUUGGAAGCCAGCUCUGCCUGCCCGCACAGGCCUGGACGCCCAGCCACAACCUGGUGUCCCCUCUGCCCAGCUCUCGCCUUGGCUCUCAGCUCCAAGAGGAUCACCUGGAAUCCAUCAUUGUCCACUGGAACUUUCUAUGAUGAUGGAAAUGCAUGCAGUUCUGCACUGUCGAAUACAGUGGUAGUCAGUAGCCAUAAGUGGCUACUGAGCACUCAAAAUGUGCCUAGCGCAACUAAGAAACUGAAUUUAUUUUAUUUUAUUUUAUUUUAAAAAUAAAGGCUAGUCUCAAACUCCCAACCGCAGGUAAUCUGCCCGCCUCAGUCUCCCAAAGUGCUGGGAUCACAGGUGUGAGCCACUGCGCCCGGCCUGAAGAUCCUUUCUAACAGAAUCAGAAUUGCACUGAUCGGAAGCAUGUCAGAGAUGCUGGUAGCUCUCUUGGAAUCCCAGUUAUUUUAGGAAGGAGUGCCUGAAUGAUCCAUGAGUGAAAAAGCCUAUCUUUGGCUUUAAGAUCAGUGGCCAGUUCCAUCUGGGAAGAAUUUAAGUGAUGAGUUAGGUCACUGGAGGCAUCCAUUUGGCAACUGUACAAUGAACAUCUAUGAUAGGUCAGGCUCUGGAGAAACAGAAACACACAUCUGGUCCUCGCUCUUGAGGAGCCCCCAGUCUGGGGACUGAUUUCUCAGUAAAGGGUGGGUAGACAAAGGUGCUCCCUCGAAGGAGAGCCCAAGGGUGCAGCAUCUGGGCUUGGAGUUUGACUGACAGCCCUCCCCCACAUUGAGGUCACGGUGAGUGAGGGCACAGGACAGGGCCCUCCAGCCCUUAUGCUCAGUCACUGGUGGAGCAUGAGUGGCAGCUGCCAAAGGGACAUGUUGACCAUCUUCUGUCCUUCUUUCUGACUUCAUAGCUUUGAACCCAGGGUGAGUCUGGGAUCCUCUAGAUUCCCCUAUGCUAUUGCCCCAAAUAGCUUCCAUGGGGUGGUUUGAAACAUAAAAACCAUCAGCUUUCAUCAACACUUCCCUCUAGAGGCUCAGAGAACCUUAAUUUCUUUUAAGGCACAGCUUACCUAAAGUGUGCAGCCACUAACUGCACAGCUCGAUGAAUGUUUACACACAUACCCUCCUGUGUUAACCAGCACUCAGAUCAAGACAGAGAAUAUUUCCAAAACCCCAGAAG